CCUCCUGGUGUCACUUCAUCCUGGAUUCCUCUUAUUCUGAUAUUAUUUCUCCUUGCUCUAUCUUCAUUAUCGGUAAUCCUGACUUCCUAUAACGCAAUUUUCUUUUCCAUCUGUAAGAUCUUUUCUUCCUGUAGCCCUUGUUGUACUUUUGAAUGCUCAAUUUGAUCUUCGAUUGAAUUAACUUUUGCCGUUAUUUUGGAUAUCUCCAAUUUAAAGUCAUCC
Non-coding RNA from Pelobates cultripes (western spadefoot toad), 222 nucleotides. Lineage: Eukaryota; Metazoa; Chordata; Amphibia; Anura; Pelobatidae. The record is from the annotation of a GenBank genome assembly.